Molecule: unclassified non-coding RNA, 433 nt
Filed under: soil metagenome
Description: partial contains 5.8S ribosomal RNA, internal transcribed spacer 2, and large subunit ribosomal RNA
Rfam family: 5.8S ribosomal RNA (bases 1-120)
Source: RNAcentral
GAUGAAGAACGUAGCGAAAUGCGAUACGUAAUGUGAAUUGCAGAAUUCAGUGAAUCAUCGAAUCUUUGAACGCAUAUUGCGCUCUCUGGUAUUCCGGAGAGCAUGCUUGUUUGAGUAUCAGUAAACACCUCAACUUCCAUAUCUUUUUUUGAAAUGGGAGUUGGACUUGAGUGAUCCCAACGCUUUUCCUCACCGAAAAGUGGCGGGUUACUUGAAAUGCAGGUGCAGCUGGACUUUUUUCUGAGCUAUAAGAAUAUCUAUUUAGUCUGCCUAAAAAACAGAUUAUUACCUUUGCUGCAGCUAACAUAAAGGAGAUUAGUUCUUGUGCUGACUGAUGCAGGAUUCACAAAGACAGCUUCGGCCGACUUUGUAAACUCGAUCUCAAAUCAAGUAAGACUACCCGCUGAACUUAAGCAUAUCAAUAAGCGGAGGA